Molecule: ribosomal RNA, 497 nt
Filed under: uncultured bacterium
Lineage: Bacteria
Description: partial 16S ribosomal RNA
Rfam family: Bacterial small subunit ribosomal RNA
Source: RNAcentral
ACUCAAAUGAAUUGACGGGGGCCCGCACAAGCGGAGGAGCAUGUGGUUUAAUUCGAUGAUACGCGAGGAACCUUACCUGGGCUUGAAAGUUAGUGACCGCUCCUGAAAGGGAGCCUUCCGCAAGGACACGAAACUAGGUGCUGCAUGGCUGUCGUCAGCUCGUGCCGUGAGGUGUUGGGUUAAGUCCCGUAACGAGCGCAACCCCUAUCAUUAGUUGCCAUCAGGUAAAGCUGGGGACUCUAAUGAGACUGCCCGCGCAAGCGGUGAGGAAGGUGGGGAUGACGUCAAGUCAUCACGGCCCUUACGUCCAGGGCUACACACGUGCUACAAUGGUAGAUACAGCAGGUUGCCACAUGGUAACAUGGAGCUAAUCCCAAAAGUCUAUCUCAGUUCGGAUUGAGGUCUGCAACUCGACCUCAUGAAGCUGGAUUCGCUAGUAAUCGGAAAUCAGCAAUGUUCCGGUGAAUACGUUCCCGGGCCUUGUACACACCGCCCGU